CUGGAAUCGGCUCUUGGAGGGUGCCUGUCUCUUUCUGCUCUCGAUUUGGCUUCCUUAUCACUUUGCAUUGAUUUUCUUCGUAGGACUUCAUUUUAAUCCAAUUUACAGUGCCGGUAAUCUGGGUCUCUUCUUUCAGUCACCCUUAGGUUCAAACCCAUUUGCUUCCCACUGACAACUGACCGACUUUCUCUGCCGAAAUCAUUGUGCUCGCUGGGUCUCUGCCGGGCUGUUCCUUUCCUGGCUGCCUCUUGCUGGUGGCUGGAAGCGAGGGGCUGGGAGAUCGGCGGCAGCAGCAGGGCAGGGGGGACAGGGUCUGCCUCCGGUCCCCCUCCCCAGGAACAGCAGCGGUGGUCGGGCUCUGUCAACACACAUGAAGAAGCACGAACUAACGGGGCGAAGCCAGCACACGGUGGUUAAAAAGGUUUUAAACCGCCCUCAUCUCACCCCCCAAACAGAGGUGGUGAGCGCUCUGCUUUCUGGAGUGAAAUGGUCAAAACGGGCUGCCUUUGGCAGGCGUGAAGCUACUGUGAGAUGGGAAUGCCCUUCUUUCCAGAGUGUCUCUGAGAGGACUCGUGGACACACUCUUAAAAAUGCAGUAAGAAGUAGCUGUGCUUAACGGGGAAGGAGCAGCACGCUGCAGUAUUUUCUGCUGCUGACACUGAACCACAACAACCUCAGCUCUGCAUCUAUCAGGGACCAUUACAGUGCUCUUUCCCUAGUGUACAUCCCUCUUUUGUCCACUUGCCAACCGGCUUAACCUUUCAUCAGCAAAUAAUUUUCACUUAAUGAGAAUUUACUCUGAAGUGCAUUUUCCCUCAGGAGCACAGGUUCCCCCUCUGUCCAGCGGGAGCCUCGCCAUGCAGAUUGCAGCAGUUAUCGGGGCACGAUGAGCCUCAGUGCAGGUAUUGAUUUGUCUCGGGCUGCUGUCUAGACCACCAUUUGCAUUGAGCCAUUACACACACACGCACACAAAGCUCUGCCUUCGUUUUUCAGCGGCUGCUUGCUUCAUAUAUAGUGGCAUGAACAGGCUCAUGGAGCCUGGUCUGCUGGGCUCAGCCUCUGAAGCUGUGGCACCGCUAACGUGUGGGGACGCAGCCAGUGGGGGCACGGAGGGGGCUGUAAUGGGCUGUCACAUCCCACAGGCUGCGAGGGCUUAUUUUUAGAUCAGUGCAUCAGGCACACAUGUUUGAGUGGUGGGAACUUGCUCACAUCUGCUCCUUUUUGAAGAGACUUUUGGCAGCUCCGUGUGGCCCAGCCACAGUGCCUGCUCUGGGGACAUGGUGCCCGGGAGGCAGGAAGGGGAAGGAUGGAAGGAGGGAAAGGAGGGAAGUACAAAGGGGGUCCUGAAGACACCAGGGAUAGAAAUGAUAUAUGUUUAUGACCAGGCAUCUGGUCAUAAACAUGGGCAGGGCUGAAAAGCCCAAGUAGCUCUAAUAGGAAAAAGUCACUUAAAUCUACACUGACUGAGAAAAGGAGGAUGAUCAAGAAAGGGAAGGUUAUUUACUGAAUGAGACCUUAAAGGAUCAAAGCUCUCCUCUGCCCUGCUCCUUCGCUCUCCCUACAACCAUUCAGUCCCGUGGUAUUUCUUCCUCUUGCUCAUGGCAGCAGAAGAGAGC
Anser brachyrhynchus (Pink-footed goose) is the source of this 1616-nucleotide long non-coding RNA. The record is from Ensembl. Lineage: Eukaryota; Metazoa; Chordata; Aves; Anseriformes; Anatidae.